GCCAGGUGUGGUGGUGCACACCUAUAAUUCCCACUACCUAGGAGGCUGAGGCAGGAGAAUCCCAAAUUCAAAGCCAGCCUGGGUAAUUUAGGUAAAUCUGUCUCAA
RNAcentral lists this small RNA (106 nucleotides) under Marmota monax (woodchuck). Lineage: Eukaryota; Metazoa; Chordata; Mammalia; Rodentia; Sciuridae. The record is from RNAcentral.